This 72-nucleotide transfer RNA is filed under the name Toxocara canis (dog roundworm). It matches the Rfam family "tRNA". From Rfam's summary of the family: Transfer RNA (tRNA) molecules are approximately 80 nucleotides in length. Their secondary structure includes four short double-helical elements and three loops (D, anti-codon, and T loops). Further hydrogen bonds mediate the characteristic L-shaped molecular structure. tRNAs have two regions of fundamental functional importance: the anti-codon, which is responsible for specific mRNA codon recognition, and the 3' end, to which the tRNAs corresponding amino acid is attached (by aminoacyl-tRNA synthetases). tRNAs cope with the degeneracy of the genetic code in two manners: having more than one tRNA (with a specific anti-codon) for a particular amino acid; and 'wobble' base-pairing, i.e. permitting non-standard base-pairing at the 3rd anti-codon position. Lineage: Eukaryota; Metazoa; Nematoda; Chromadorea; Rhabditida; Toxocaridae. The record is from Rfam by way of RNAcentral.
AGAGCAGUAGCUCAGUGGUAGAGCUCCCUCCUCCUAUGCGGGAAGACCUAGGUUCGAUUCCCGCCUGCCUCC